RNAcentral lists this unclassified non-coding RNA (329 nucleotides) under soil metagenome. RNAcentral describes it as "partial contains 5.8S ribosomal RNA, internal transcribed spacer 2, and large subunit ribosomal RNA". The stretch from base 1 to 120 matches the Rfam family "5.8S ribosomal RNA", at positions 35 to 154 of the family's 154-position model. The record is from RNAcentral.
GAUGAAGAACGUAGCGAAAUGCGAUAAGUAAUGUGAAUUGCAGAAUUCAGUGAAUCAUCGAAUCUUUGAACGCACAUUGCGCCCCUUGGUAUUCCGGGGGGCAUGCCUGUUCGAGCGUCAUUAUAACCACUCAAGCUCUCGCUUGGUAUUGGGGCUCGCGGUUCCGCGGCCCCUAAAAUCAGUGGCGGUGCCUGUCGGCUCUACGCGUAGUAAUACUCCUCGCGAUUGAGUCCGGUAGGUCUACUUGCCAGCAACCCCCAAUUUUUACAGGUUGACCUCGGAUCAGGUAGGGAUACCCGCUGAACUUAAGCAUAUCAAUAAGCGGAGGA